This is a long non-coding RNA of Tetranychus urticae (two-spotted spider mite), 1053 nucleotides long. RefSeq lists it as uncharacterized. Lineage: Eukaryota; Metazoa; Arthropoda; Arachnida; Trombidiformes; Tetranychidae. The record is from RefSeq and is a predicted model, not a curated record.
GAUAAACUCUGGUUUUGUUUAACCUAAACUCUGUUUGUUAUUUAACAUUAUACAACCAGGGCGAGUUAGUGAGCCUUAACAUUAACCUUUUCUUCUUGUUUCCAAUAACCAUUGGUUUCCUUUGUUUAACAUAAUUGUUAUUGAACCUUUUUGUUUUUGUUUUUUGAUUAACUUUUAUAUUAACAAUGUUGACUAAGAAACUUAAUCCAGAAUCAGGAAGCUCUGAUUAUGAGCUGGAUGAAUUGGAGCCAAGAGACAAAAUGUUUCCAAUUAUCCCUCGAAUGGGAUCCGUUUUUAUGCAAGUGACUAGUUUGCUCUUUAGCUUUUUCUUUUUCGCGCUCAUUGUUAUACUUCUGCACCAAUAUCACAUGGAUAAUGAUCAUCGUCUGCCAGCUUUAUACAACUCAACGGCUAAACCUGAUUUAUUAACAACUAUUUUACCAUUACCGACAACAACUCUUGUUGAUGGUGUUUCCCUUAAUCAAUCAAUUCACUAACCAUCAAAUUCAGUAAGAUUCAUCAACCAGAAAUGGUCAUUUUCAUCAAACAGUCUUUUACCGAGGCUUGAAAUUUUGAAAUCAAUUUGUGCCUGAUAUUAGUGAAAAGCAAAGCAGAACUCCCCAUUUUAAAGUUGAUACAUUUACAAGGUGUAAUUUAAUUGUGCUUAUCAUGUUAAAGGAAUGCUGAUAUAACAAGGGUAACGACCAUGUUUGAUGGCGAAAGUUUGAAAAACGUCGUUUAAUGGCUGUAAAGUGUUGAGUUGAAAAGGAAAACCAAUAAACCAGAGAUAGGCAAAUGAGACGAUCUACAUGCUAAUGACCACACAUUAGGAGGUUAAAGAUUUUGCCUUGCGAAAAGACUUUGACUUGUAAAUUAUUCAAGUUGGUCACAAGUCUUUGCCGUUUUUUGCCCUUCUCCUCUCAACGCCAUUUUCUUGGUAAUUAAUCAAUUGCUUUGGAUUGUGAUGGCUACCAUACAUAAUGCGUCAAAUAACUUAUCUUUUGGUUUAUGCGUUUGGAUACAUCAAGUGAAAAGAACCACAAAGACAAAAGG